Molecule: ribosomal RNA, 496 nt
Filed under: uncultured bacterium
Lineage: Bacteria
Description: partial 16S ribosomal RNA
Rfam family: Bacterial small subunit ribosomal RNA
Source: RNAcentral
AUUGAACGCUGGCGGCAUGCUUUACACAUGCAAGUCGAACGGUAGAGGGGGCAACCCCUUGAGAGUGGCGAACGGGUGAGUAAUGCAUCGGAACGUGCCCAGUCGUGGGGGAUAACGCAGCGAAAGCUGUGCUAAUACCGCAUACGAUCCAUGGAUGAAAGCGGGGGACCGAAGCGCCUCGCGCGAUUGGAGCGGCCGAUGUCAGAGUAGGUAGUUGGUGGGGUAAAGGCCUACCAAGCCAACGAUCUGUAGCUGGUCUGAGAGGACGACCAGCCACACUGGGACUGAGACACGGCCCAGACUCCUACGGGAGGCAGCAGUGGGGAAUUUUGGACAAUGGGCGCAAGCCUGAUCCAGCAAUGCCGCGUGCAGGAAGAAGGCCUUCGGGUUGUAAACUGCUUUUGUACGGAACGAAACGGUCUGGGUUAAUACCCUGGGCUAAUGACGGUACCGUAAGAAUAAGCACCGGCUAACUACGUGCCAGCAGCCGCAGUAA